This 429-nucleotide ribosomal RNA is filed under the name Pseudomonadota bacterium. Its description in RNAcentral is "Proteobacteria bacterium partial 16S ribosomal RNA". It matches the Rfam family "Bacterial small subunit ribosomal RNA", at positions 355 to 776 of the family's 1533-position model. The record is from RNAcentral. Lineage: Bacteria; Pseudomonadati; Pseudomonadota.
UGGGGAAUAUUGGACAAUGGGCGAAAGCCUGAUCCAGCCAUGCCGCGUGUGUGAAGAAGGUCUUCGGAUUGUAAAGCACUCUAAGUUGGGAGGAAGGGCAGUAAGCGAAUACCUUGCUGUUUUGACGUUACCGACAGAAUAAGCACCGGCUAACUCUGUGCCAGCAGCCGCGGUAAUACAGAGGGUGCAAGCGUUAAUCGGAAUUACUGGGCGUAAAGCGAGCGUAGGUGGUUCGUUAAGUUGAAUGUGAAAGCCCCGGGCUCAACCUGGGAACUGCAUCCUAAACUGGCGAGCUAGAGUAGGACAGAGGGUGGUGGAAUUUCCUGUGUAGCGGUGAAAUGCGUAGAUAUAGGAAGGAACACCAGUGGCGAAGGCGGCCACCUGGGCUCAUACUGACUCUGAGGUGCGAAAGAGUGGGGGGCAAACAGG